AAUGAACGUUGGCGGCGUGGAUUAGGCAUGCAAGUCGAACGACCCUUUUGGGGGCAACUCCAAAAGGGAGUGGCGAAAGGGGCAGUAAGGCAUGGGUAACCUACCCUGGGGACCGGGACACACAUGUAAUAGUGGUAAAUACCGGGCGAUCUGACGAAGUCGCAUGGUUUUGUCAGGAAAUGAAUUUCGCCUCGGGAGGGGCUCAUGUAGUAUUAGCUUGUUGGUGAGGUAACGGCUCACCAAGGCAAAGAUGCUUAGCGGGUGUGAGAGCACGACCCGCGCCACUGGCACUGAGACACUGGCCAGACUCCUACGGGAGGCUGCAGUCGAGGAUCUUCGGCAAUGGG
This 347-nucleotide ribosomal RNA is filed under the name uncultured bacterium. Its description in RNAcentral is "bacterial SSU rRNA". It matches the Rfam family "Bacterial small subunit ribosomal RNA", at positions 29 to 375 of the family's 1533-position model. The record is from RNAcentral.